This is a long non-coding RNA of Odocoileus virginianus texanus, 1866 nucleotides long. RefSeq lists it as uncharacterized. The record is from RefSeq and is a predicted model, not a curated record. NCBI's taxonomy places the organism in Eukaryota, Metazoa, Chordata, Mammalia, Artiodactyla, Cervidae.
AUCCAUACAAGACUACUGGAAAAACCAUAGCUUUGACUAGAUGGACCCUCAAGGCACUCCUGGAAUUGAUCAGUCACCAGAGAGAGUAGGAAGAGGCUGAGCUCCUUCAGACCAAUCAGCAGCCACCUGAGUAUUGGCUUACCCUAGUCAUCACACACAACCUCCAAUCAGCCAAUAGAAGUAGAAUGAUAGACUAGGAGGCGGGGCCUGCCUGGUCUCCACGGUGAUCUCUGGAUAGUGAAGGAAAGGCUCUAUGUAGCCUUGGUAGUACCAGAUCCAGUUGCUGUAAUGGGGUGUUUGAAGGGGCAAGGAGAGAAUUUAUGGGGUGACAGGUGUUUGAAAUUAUGUCAGAGGCGUCACCCAGCGAGGACGACAUCAUGCUGCCAUCCGUGGGCUGCUUCAUGUGUUGUCCCAUAUGCACGGUAGCCAUGUUCUACUCUUCCCAGGCUUUUGAAAUUAGGUCUAACAAGCCCCCCAGUGACCACCUCUUGCUGGCGAUCCUGGCCUAUCUCCUGUGCUGUCCUUUAGGCACUGCAGCCUUGUACUAUUCUUCCCAGACAAGGCGCCACAACCGUAGGAAUGAACGAAACUUGGCAGUCAAGACCUCCCACAAAGUCUUCAAUUUCGCUGUCUCAGCAAUUGUUUCGGGAUGCGUCAUCAUACUCCUCGCCAUGAGUGUAUUCUUAACAAUCUUAUUUACGCGGUAACUUCCUCUCCAGGUCAUGAAAAAGCAACCAAAAAAAUAUACAACAGUGUGUCUUACCUUGGCUCUAGGUGUCCACUGGGGCCAAAUGAGACUCCUGCCUCUCAGUGUCUGGCGUUCUGAGUGCUCCCAACCUGAGCCAGUACCAUGAGGUGGUUGUUGGGAGAAAGAAAGUGGUAGUUCAGGCAGCCCCUUAAACCAGAGCUCAAGACCAACCUAGGGACCCCGCCAAGAUGUGGGCCAUGGGAGACAGGGUAGCAUACUGACUCCCCACAGCAGCCUCCCCUCUGCCCACAUUCACGCAUUGAUGCCAUAAAUCUACCUAUGUUGACCAAGGACCUAGACUGUGCUGCAUGACUCUGGGGACAAAAUCUACUUAUGUUGACCAAGGACCUUGACUGUGCUGCAUGACUCUGGAGACAUAGCAGUCAUCACUUGAGAUCAAAUCUUACACCUUCAGAAUCUCAUAAUCUAGGCUGGAAGACAGACAUAUCACUAAACAGUGACAGUCCAUAGUGACCCCAUCUCUAAAGGGGAAAACUUAAAGAGAGGGAUUGUAGGAGGCUGGACCUAAUCUGGGAUACUUGUGGGUCUAUCAGAAAACCAGGGAGUCAAGCAGCUGUAAGUGAACUGGCUAGAAUUCAGACCAGGUGGAUCACAGACAGCUUCCAUGACAGUCUCCUCCCCCCACCAACACCAUUGCUUGUGAUUCAAAAGUCAACAAUACUUUCUGAGCACCUACUAUGUAUCAGGCACUAGACUGAGAAGUAGGAAGGCAACAGAGCAAAGUAAACCAGACCCCUUUCUGAUAGAGCUUAAGUUCCAGUGGAAAGAAAACCAUAAACAAAUAGACCUCUAAAUAAACAAGAUAAUUACAGGGGACAGUAAAUGCUACAGAGAAAAAUAACAGAGUAAUAAGCUAAAGCAAUAAUGUAAUGAACAUUAACAGCUGGCCAAUCAAACUGCUAAUGUUCAUUAUAAGACAGGUGCAGGAAUUGACAGUAGGUGCUUUGAAACUUAUAGCAAUUUGAUGUCAUCAUGACAUCCAAGUAUAAGGUCAAGAAUUUUGUCAGACAAAGUAUAGACCAAAAGGAUAAUCCAUGACAGAUUGAAAAUGAAAGUCGUUCAGUCAUGUCCGAUUCUUUGUGACCCCAUGGACUAUA